UACCAGCUCUCCGAGUGGUAGGGAUGAUUAUUGGGCUUAAAGCGUCCGUAGCCGGCUUAGCAAGUCUCCUGUUAAAUUCAGCGACCUAAUCGUUGACCCGCGGGAGAUACUACUAGGCUAGGAGGCGGGAGAGGUCAACGGUACUUCCGGGGUAGGGGUGAAAUCCUAUAAUCCCGGGAGGACCACCAGUGGCGAAGGCUGUUGACUAGAACGCGCUCGACGGUGAGGGACGAAAGCUGGGGGAGCGAACCGGAUUAGAUACCCGGGUAGUCCCAGCUGUAAACGAUGCGGGCUAGGUGUUGGGGUGGCUACGUGCCACUUCAGUGCCGCAGGGAAGCCAUUAAGCCCGCCGCCUGGGGAGUACGGCCGCAAGGCUGAAACUUAAGGAUUGGCGGGGAGCACCACAAGGCGUGAAGCUUGCGGUUC
RNAcentral lists this ribosomal RNA (426 nucleotides) under uncultured archaeon. RNAcentral describes it as "bacterial SSU rRNA". It matches the Rfam family "Archaeal small subunit ribosomal RNA", at positions 474 to 903 of the family's 1478-position model. The record is from RNAcentral.